RNAcentral lists this ribosomal RNA (2908 nucleotides) under Methanocella conradii HZ254. RNAcentral's name for it is "bacterial LSU rRNA". It matches the Rfam family "Archaeal large subunit ribosomal RNA". The record is from RNAcentral. Lineage: Archaea; Methanobacteriati; Methanobacteriota; Methanomicrobia; Methanocellales; Methanocellaceae.
CUGUGCCAUCCGGUGGAUGGCUUGGCUCGAGAACCGAAGAAGGACGUGCCAAGCUGCGAUAAGCCCGGGGGAGGCGCAAGGAGCCCCUGAUCCCGGGAUCUCCUAAUGAGAACUCUCUCCCACAAAGGGAAGCCCGAUAAGGGCUGGGAACGCCCCGAGUUGAAACAUCUGCGUAGGGGCAGGAAAAGAAACCAAACUGGGAUGCUGCUAGUAACGGCGAGUGAACACAGCAAAUUAGCCUAAACCGAAUCCCCCCUAGUAAUAGGGGGGAGAUGUGGUGUUGCAGGACCGGUCUUUUAGCCUGGUUGUUGUGAGGCCGACUCCCCUGGAACGGGGGGCCGUAGAGGGUGAUAGCCCCGUGGCCGAAACAAUAACAAGGUGUGACCGGGAUCCUGAGUACCGUGGGCCGGAAACCUCGCGGGAAACCGGGGGACACAUUCCUCCAAGGCUGAACAUACCUCGAGACCGAUAGCGUAAUAGUAGAGUGAUCGAAAGCUGAAAAGCACCCCGAAAAGGGAGGUUAAAAGAGCCUGAAACCGGAUGGCUAUGGAGCGAUAGGGCAUGAAAGGACCUCCCCGCCGAAGGAAGCACCCGCGAGAGUGUUGUACGAGGCGGGGUGCCAGUGUCCUAUCGUACGUUUUGAAGAACGGGCCAAGGAGUGGGGCCCGGUGGCGAGGCUAACCCCACAGGGGGAGCCGUAGCGAAAGCGACAAGCCCGCAGGAAACGAGGGGCGGCGUAGGAUUUGCGCGGAGUCACCGGGCCACGACCCGGAACCAGGUGAUCUAGGCGUGGGCAGAUCGAAGCGUAACGAAAGUUACGUGGAGGAUCGUUAGCGGUACUGAUAUGCAAAUCGUUCGCGUGACCCGUGUCUAGGGGUGAAAGUCCAAUCGAACUUGGAAACAGCUGGUUCCUCCCGAAACAUGUCGAAGCAUGACCUCGCCAGAGGCGGGGGGCGAGGUAGAGCACCGAUUAGGGGAGCCGGAUGGGAGACCAUUCGUCCUCUUGUCGAACUCCAAACUCGUCCCCACCAGAGAAGGCGGGAAGUCCGGGCUGGGGGGUAAGCUUCUAGUCCGUAAGGGAGACAACCCAGACCCGGGUUAAGGCCCCAAAUUUGUCGGCUAAGUGUUAACACUGAAAGGCGUCCCAGGCCCUUGACAACUGGGAGGUGAGCUUAGAAGCAGCUAUCCUCUAAGAAAAGCGUAACAGCUUACCAGUCGAGGUCUGGGGCCCUGAAAAUGGACGGGGCUCAAGCCGACAGCCGAGACCCGGGAGUAUCGAGAGAUAACCUCGUAGGGAGGCACUCCGCGGGCGUGGAAGCAGGGCCGCGAGGUCCUGUGGAGCGCGCGGAGAAGAAAAUCUUGGCACUAGUAACAGCAUAGCACGGUGAGAAUCCGUGCCGCCGAAAGGGCUAGGUUUCCUCGGCCAUGAUCGUCAGCCGAGGGUUAGUCGGUCCUAAGGCCAACCCUAACCUAGUUGGCCGAAAGGGAGACAGGUUAAUAUUCCUGUACUCUUCCACACACAAACCAACGUUUCCUGCCAGCACUGGCAAGCCCGUCAGCUUGUUCAAACACCAUAGCACGUUGGAGGACCGUAACGGUGAGAAAACGUGUAAAGUGCGAUGACGUAAGCAGUGUCACACAGGGAACCCGUGAAAAGGGAGUGGAAGACCCGUACCGAGAUCCGACACAGGUGCCCCUAGUUAAGAAGACUAAGGCGUGUCGGCACACCCUGGCCAAGGGAAUUCGGCAAGUUAGCCCCGUAACCUAGGGAUAAGGGGUGCCUGCCACGAGGGUGGCAGGUCGCAGUGACAAGGGAGCGCUGACUGUCUAAUAACAACAUAGCUGAUCGCCAAACCGAAAGGUCUAGUACGAUCAGUGAAUCCUGCCCAGUGCAGGUACCUGAAAACCCCGUCCAAGGGGAAGAAGGGCCUGUCAACGGCGGGGGUGACUAUAACCCUCUUAAGGUAGCGUAGUACCUUGCCGCUUAAUUGGCGGCUUGCAUGAAUGGAUCAACGAGCGCUCCACUGUCCCUGGCCAGGCGCCGGUGAACAUUACAUCCUAGUGCAGAGUCUAGGGACCCCUAAUGGGAAGUGAAGACCCCGUGGAGCUUUACUGCAACCUGUCAUUGGGUUACGGCCGCCGGUGUGCAGCGUAGAUAGGACCCGUCUGAAGCCCCCUCGCCAGGGGGGGUGGAGGGGCUGUUGAGACACUAUCCUCCGGCGACUGCGACCCUAACCCUGGUGGGGACACUGAUAGGCGGGCAGUUUGGCUGGGGCGGCACGCCCUCGAAAAGGUAUCGAUGGCGCCCUAAGGUCAACUCAACCCGGUCAGAAACCGGGCGUGGAGUGUAAAGGCACAAGUUGGCUUGACACGAAGCCGCACAACAAGGCUUCGUGAGACGAAAGUCGGGCUUAACGAACCAAUGCGCCCUAAGUGUGAGGGCCAUUGAUGUCAGAAAAGCUACCCCGGGGAUAACAGAGUCGUCGCCGGCAAGAGUACAUAUCGACCCGGCGGCUUGCUACCUCGAUGUCGGUUCUUUCCAUCCUGGCCGUGCAGCAGCGGCCAAGGGUGAGGUUGUUCGCCUAUUAAAGGAGAUCGUGAGCUGGGUUUAGACCGUCGUGAGACAGGUCGGUUACUAUCUGUUAGGGGUGCAAAGGUGGCCUGAGGGGAAGUUGCUUUUAGUACGAGAGGAACAAGGCAACGGCGCCACUAGUCAACCGGUCGUCCGACAGGGCGGGCCGGGCAGCCACGCGCUAAGUUGUAAGGGCUGAAAGCAUCUAAGCCCGAAAAACACCCUGAAAAAAGGCCACAAAAGGGUCCCCGUAAAAGACGGGGUGGAUAGAGUUGGGGCGUACGCGCAAAGGCAACGAUGCGCUCAACCCGCAACCACUAACAACCCAAACAAGCC